RNAcentral lists this ribosomal RNA (497 nucleotides) under uncultured bacterium. RNAcentral describes it as "partial 16S ribosomal RNA". It matches the Rfam family "Bacterial small subunit ribosomal RNA", at positions 28 to 507 of the family's 1533-position model. The record is from RNAcentral.
GAUGAACGCUGGCGGCGUGCCUAAUACAUGCAAGUCGAGCGAACAGACUAGUAGCUUGCUCCUCUGACGUUAGCGUCGGCCGGGUGAGUAACACGUGUAUAACCUACCUAUAAUACUGGGAUAACUUCGUGGAACCGGAGCUAAUCCCGGAUAAUAUAUUUAACCGCAUGGUUCCAUCGUUAAAGGCGGUUUUGCUGUCACUUCUCGAUGGUUCCGCGCCGCUUUUGCGACUUGGUAAGGUAACGGCUUACCAAGGCAACCAUCAGUAGCCGACCGGAGAGGGGGAUCGGCCACACUGGAACUGAGACACGGACAAGACUCCUACGGGAGGCAGCAGUAGGGAAUCUUCCGCAAUGGGCGAAAGCUUGACGGAGCAACGCCGCGUGAGUGAUGAAGGUCUUCGGAUCGUAAAACUCUGUUAUUAGGGAAGAACAAAUGUGUAAGUAACUAUGCACGUCUUGACGGUACCUAAUCAGAAAGCCACGGCUAACUACGUG